Long non-coding RNA from Lycium barbarum (goji berry), 665 nucleotides. RefSeq lists it as uncharacterized. The transcript is spliced from 3 exons. Lineage: Eukaryota; Viridiplantae; Streptophyta; Magnoliopsida; Solanales; Solanaceae. The record is from RefSeq and is a predicted model, not a curated record.
UGACAAAAGAAAGCAACAUGGUCAAGAGUCAAAGGAGGAAAAGAAAGAAAGAAAGGCUGCUGUGAAGGAAGAACGGCGUGAGGCACGUCGUAUGAAAAAAGAGACAAAGGUGCUAUAUAAGUGUGAAGCACAUCGUGCUCAGAAGGUUGCUGCUUUUACUGGACCAUCUGCCAUACAUCUCAUGUGACAUCGUUUUGGUUAUGUGUACUUUAAAGUCGAGCAAUUGUCGAUCCUCUUUUGUGCGCCCGAAGUGGGACCUCUUGAUUGGCACGUCCUCUUCAAUUAAAAAGAUGAUGUUCGAAAGCUUUUCUCCUCUUAGAUGGUAUAUAAUACAUGAUAGUUCCUCAAGACAGUUCUCAGCUUCGUAAACGGAUGUGCGUGGUCAAGCAGAGUUGCAGCUUGAUGCAUUUUUGUUUAAUUAAUUGGUGGAAUGCAGAGUGUUGACAUGCUAUAUAGCUUGCUUACAGUUUAUGAUGUUAUUGGAGUUUUAACGUUCUCAUUAGCUUUUUUAACAGUUCGCAAAAUGUCCUGCAUUUAAUUUUGAAUGAGUUUCAUUCCUCUGAAGUUUAUCAUUGUGGAUUGGAAUUGGAUCCUUGGAAUUCCUCUGUUCUUCUAGUGCUCAGCUAUAUUUGCAAUAUGUUUAUUCAUUAUAAAAAUUUGAAGUA